This 459-nucleotide ribosomal RNA is filed under the name uncultured bacterium. RNAcentral describes it as "partial 16S ribosomal RNA". It matches the Rfam family "Bacterial small subunit ribosomal RNA", at positions 338 to 795 of the family's 1533-position model. The record is from RNAcentral.
CCUACGGGUGGCAGCAGUGAGGAAUAUUGGUCAAUGGGCGUAAGCCUGAACCAGCCAAGUCGCGUGAGGGAUGACGGCUCUACGGAUCGUAAACCUCUUUUAUAAGGGAAUAAAGUGCGGCACGUGUCCCGUUUUGUAUGUACCUUAUGAAUAAGGAUCGGCUAACUCCGUGCCAGCAGCCGCGGUAAUACGGAGGAUGCGAGCGUUAUCCGGAUUUAUUGGGUUUAAAGGGUGCGCAGGCGGACUUUUAAGUCAGCGGGAAAAUCGUGGGGCUCAACCCCAUCCAGCAGUUGAAACUGGAGGCCUUGAGUGUACAAAAGGUGGGCGGAAUGCGUGGUGUAGCGGUGAAAUGCAUAGAUAUCACGAAGAACCCCGAUUGCGAAGGCAGCAGGCCGGGGUACAACUGACGCUGAGGCACGAAAGUGUGGGUAUCAAACAGGAUUAGAUACCCUAGUAGUC